This 551-nucleotide long non-coding RNA is filed under the name Coffea arabica (coffee). RNAcentral describes it as "long non-coding RNA (CARA_LNC005380)". Lineage: Eukaryota; Viridiplantae; Streptophyta; Magnoliopsida; Gentianales; Rubiaceae. The record is from RNAcentral.
AGUAUACCGAAACGGUUGUCCAGGGUUCCAACCUAACCGACCGAGCCCAGUCCUGGCUCGAGUAGGUCAGUAACCGAGGCAGGGCCCAAGUUCAGCUUAGAGCUUACAACAUGCACAAGUAAUCAAGUAAUUCGGCAAAAGGUAAAAUUCAUCAUUUGAGUAGGUCGAGUGAGGUAAAGUAUACACUCGCCUAACAAUGAUGGACAACUUCAUAUAACAUGCGAUUCAUGAUAAUCAAGUGAUCAAGUAAGUUGGUGAUCACGUAAGCAGAUAAUCAAGUAAGCAAGUAGCCGAAUGGAUUAGAAAACGGUAAGUAAACACGGUAAACGGUAAACGGUGGUAAUUACGGUUAAUUGGCAGACAUAUGUCAUUUUAAUAGGCCACCAUUGGCCGAUUUUCACUUUUUCCACAUAAGAGUCGAGGAGAUUCACUCCAACCGACUUAUGCUGUCAUAGCAUAAUUAAUCAUUUAAACACAUCAUGUAGAUAUGCUCUCCAAACAUUUCAUAUCUAGUAUUUCAAGUAAUCACAUAAAUAUGCUCUUUAAGCAUU